RNAcentral lists this ribosomal RNA (387 nucleotides) under Triticum aestivum (bread wheat). RNAcentral describes it as "partial small subunit ribosomal RNA". The record is from RNAcentral. Lineage: Eukaryota; Viridiplantae; Streptophyta; Magnoliopsida; Poales; Poaceae.
AUGUGGAAGCUGCGCAGCAUCACAAUAUCCAUCACAUGCCAUUCAUUGAAUUUGAUGAUUAAAUGGAAACAAAUGACAACUGAAAGCGAUAUGCAGGACCUAAGCAAAUCAGGCACCCUCGUGCCUAGCCGAGACCUAGUAACUUCAUCGACCAAAACGAAACAGAUCUACAGACCUCCCGGGGGACAGAUGAACAGAGAUGAAACUCUCCGAGGAUUACGGGAAUCCGAGAUGCGCAUAGCGCGACAAAUCGACGCAUCGAAACAUUUCCCCACCAAUAACGAGACCAAGUUCUCCCGUACGCGAACGAAUCGCGUCAAUUUAAGCUAUACACGGAGUUCUACCGGAACAGAUCACGAGAAUAACCAUCGAUCCGUAAAAAAUUAA